AUACGAAGGGGGCUAGCGUUGUUCGGAAUUACUGGGCGUAAAGCGCGCGUAGGCGGAUUGGUCAGUUAGGGGUGAAAUCCCAGGGCUUAACCCUGGAACUGCCUCCAAUACUGUCAGUCUUGAGUUCGGGAGAGGUGAGUGGAAUUCCUAGUGUAGAGGUGAAAUUCGUAGAUAUUAGGAAGAACACCAGUGGCGAAGGCGGCUCACUGGCCCGAUACUGACGCUGAGGCGCGAAAGCGUGGGGAGCAAACAGGAUUAGAAACCCUAGUAGUCC
Molecule: ribosomal RNA, 274 nt
Filed under: uncultured bacterium
Lineage: Bacteria
Description: partial 16S ribosomal RNA
Rfam family: Bacterial small subunit ribosomal RNA
Source: RNAcentral